AAUCAACGCUGGCGGCGUGCCUAACACAUGCAAGUCGAACGCGAAGACCCCGCAAGGGUUUGUAGCGUGGCAAACGGGUGAGUAACGCGUGGGCGACUUACCUCCGAGUGGGGGAUAACCUUCCGAAAGGAGGGCUAAUACCGCAUGACAUCCUGCCCUUAGACGGGCGGACAUCAAAGCCGGGGAUCGCAAGACCUGGCGCUUGGAGAGAGGCCCGCGUCCGAUUAGCUAGUUGGUGAGGAACGGCUCACCAAGGCUCCGAUCGGUAUCCGGCCUGAGAGAGCGGACGGACACACUGGGACUGAGACACGGCCCAGACUCCUACGGGAGGCAGCAGUGGGGAAUUGUUCGCAAUGGGCGCAAGCCUGAUCCAGCCAUACCGCGUGGGUGAAGAAGGCCU
RNAcentral lists this ribosomal RNA (400 nucleotides) under uncultured bacterium. RNAcentral describes it as "bacterial SSU rRNA". It matches the Rfam family "Bacterial small subunit ribosomal RNA", at positions 29 to 417 of the family's 1533-position model. The record is from RNAcentral.